AGGCNGGACUCGCGAAUGNCUUACGNUUAAGUUUGAUCAUGGCUCAGAUCGAACGCUUACGGCAGGCCUAACACAUGCAAGUCGAGCGGAUGACGGGAGCUUGCUCCUUGAUUCAGCGGCGGACGGGUGAGUAAUGCCUAGGAAUCUGCCUGUCUACUGGGGGACCCCNNUNCCGAAAGGAACGCUAAUACCGCAUACGUCCUACGGGAGAAAGCAGGGGACCUUCGGGCCUUGCGCUAUCAGAUGAGCCUAGGUCGGAUUAGCUAGUUGGUGAGGUAAUGGCUCACCAAGGCGACGAUCCGUAACUGGUCUGAGAGGAUGAUCAGUCACACUGGAACUGAGACACGGUCCAGACUCCUACGGGAGGCAGCAGU
This 374-nucleotide ribosomal RNA is filed under the name uncultured bacterium. Its description in RNAcentral is "bacterial SSU rRNA". It matches the Rfam family "Bacterial small subunit ribosomal RNA", at positions 1 to 355 of the family's 1533-position model. The record is from RNAcentral.